GACGAACGCUGGCGGCGUGCUUAACACAUGCAAGUCGAACGGAAAGGCCCUGCUUUUGUGGGGUGCUCGAGUGGCGAACGGGUGAGUAACACGUGAGUAACCUGCCCUUGACUUUGGGAUAACUUCAGGCAACUGGGGCUAAUACAGGCUAGGAGCUCCUGCUGCAUGGUGGGGUUUGGAAAGUUUCGGCGGUUGGGGAUGGACUCGCGGCUUAUCAGCUUGUUGGUGGGGUAGUGGCUUACCAAGGCUUUGACGGGUAGCCGGCCUGAGAGGGUGACCGGCCACAUUGGGACUGAGAUACGGCCCAGACUCCUACGGGAGGCAGCAGUGGAGAAUAUUGCACAAUGGGCGGAAGCCUGAUGCAGCAACGCCGCGUGCGGGAUGACGGCCUUCGGGUUGUAAACCGCUUUAGCCUGUGACGAAGCGUGAGUGACGGUAAUGGGUAAAGAAGCACCGGCUAACUACGUG
RNAcentral lists this ribosomal RNA (468 nucleotides) under uncultured bacterium. RNAcentral describes it as "partial 16S ribosomal RNA". It matches the Rfam family "Bacterial small subunit ribosomal RNA", at positions 28 to 507 of the family's 1533-position model. The record is from RNAcentral.